RNAcentral lists this long non-coding RNA (321 nucleotides) under Homo sapiens (human). RNAcentral describes it as "HSALNT0360200". The record is from RNAcentral. Lineage: Eukaryota; Metazoa; Chordata; Mammalia; Primates; Hominidae.
AGAAGACAUAUGGGACCCAGAUAAAUCAGACAUUGAAUGCGCUGACGAGAGUCGCUGAGGACCCAAGAGAAAAGGCUUUUUUGGUUUGGAUUUCAUCUGUAUUUCACCACUUGAAAAUUCACUAUUGGCAUCGGGCAUAACCAACCCAGACAUCCUCUAAAGGAGGAGAUACAGAAGUUCUCUUCCCAGGCCCACUCAAAGGGUUCUGGCUCAGACCCUUUUUCCCCAUUCCUUAAGAGAGAAAAAAGACAUAUAUUUUCAAGGUAUAGACUCCCAUCAAGGCACACUGACCCUGAAAAAUGGCUGAGCUAAAAUAAAAGC